Molecule: unclassified non-coding RNA, 376 nt
Filed under: Hevea brasiliensis (rubber tree)
Lineage: Eukaryota; Viridiplantae; Streptophyta; Magnoliopsida; Malpighiales; Euphorbiaceae
Source: RNAcentral
AAAAAAAAUAAAAAAAAAAAUAUAUAAAAAUAAAAAUAAUAAAAAAAGAGUUCUGCUCUGUCACGUUCCUGACUACAUAUUAACUAAGAGAAGUGUCCAUCAAGUAUGAGAACCAUUUUAUAGGUCUGAGUGUUUGUAAUACCAGAUAAAAUCAUACUGACACUUAUGAAAGGGAUCCAAUUUUUACUAAUGAAAACAAAAUGAGACAGUGGAAAAUAAAAAACAAAUUAAGCUGAAGUGAUACCCUAAGAUAAAAUAUGAAAAAUAGAAAAAGAUAUACAUUACUGAUAUAGCACAAACCUCAAAGGUCUUGACUUUCAUAAACAUUUUCCUAAAGAAAUGAAUAAUGCAUGAAAAAAAAAAAGCAUACAUCCAC